Molecule: ribosomal RNA, 2216 nt
Filed under: human metagenome
Description: bacterial LSU rRNA
Rfam family: Bacterial large subunit ribosomal RNA
Source: RNAcentral
AGAGCAUAGGGUGAAUGCCUAGGCACCAAAAGCCGAUGAAAGACGUGACAAGCUGCGAUAAGCCUUGGGGAGGAGCACAUAUCCUUUGAUCCAGGGAUUUCUGAAUGAGGAAACUCAGCUGGGAAAAAGAGCCCAGUUAUCCACACAUGAGUAAAGUAGUGUGUGAGAAGGGAACGUGGAGAACUGAAACAUCUUAGUACCCACAGGAAAAGAAAGAAAAAUCGAUAUCGAAAGUAGUGGCGAGCGAAAUCGAUAGAGCCCAAACCAGAAUCAGUAAUGAUACUGGGGUUCGGACAGCAUAAUUGAUUAAACGAGGAUAGCAAAACUGUUUUGGAAAAGCAGACUAUAAAGGGUGAAAGUCCCGUAUGCGAAAUUCAAGUUUACAUGGCUGUAUCCAGAGUAGUGCGAGACACGAGAAAUCUCGUAUGAAUGAGCGGGGACCAUCCCGUAAGGCUAAAUACUAAUUGGUGACCGAUAGCGAACUAGUACCGUGAGGGAAAGGUGAAAAGAACCCCGGGAGGGGAGUGAAAUAGAAUCUGAAACCCUAUGUUUACAAGCAGACAGAGCGAUUUAAGGCGCGAUGUCGUACUUUUUGUAGAACGGUCCAGCGAGUUAUAGUGUAUGGCAAGGUUAAGUUUUAAGUAAGGAACGGAGCCGAAGCGAAAGCGAGUCUGAAAAGGGCGAAUUAAGUCAUGCGUUAUAGACCCGAAACCGGGUGACCUAUCCAUGGUCAGGAUGAAGCAAGAGUAAAAUCUUGUGGAGGUCCGAACUGAUUGUCGUUAAAAAGGCACCGGAUGAACUGUGGAUAGCGGAGAAAUUCCAAUCGAACUCGGAGAUAGCUGGUUCUCCUCGAAAUAGCUUUAGGGCUAGCCUUGGAGGAAGACGAAUGGAGGUAGAGCACUGAAUGAGGUAGGGGCCUAACCAGGUUACCGAACUCUAUCAAACUCCGAAUGCCAUUCGUUAAUAUCCAGGAGUCAGACUACGGGAGCUAAGUUCCGUGGUCAAAAGGAAAAGAGUCCAGAUCGUCAAUUAAGGUCCCAAAUGGAUAGCUAAGUGGAAAACGAUGUGAUUUUGCGUAAACAACCAGGAUGUUGGCUCAGAAGCAGCCAUUCAUUAAAAGAGUGCGUAAUAGCUCACUGGUCGAGUGAAGUUGCGCGGAAAAUUACCGGGGCUAAGUUAUCAACCGAAAUUGCGGAUUUGUAAUUUAUUACAAGUGGUAGAGGAGCAUUCUAUUGUAGGAUGAAGUCAGAGCGUGAGCACUGGUGGACGAGAUAGAAGAGAGAAUGCUGGAAUAAGUAGCGAGAGCAGGGUGAGAAUCCCUGCCGUCGAAAGUCUAAGGUUUCCUGGGGAAGGUUCGUCCGCCCAGGGUUAGUCAGGACCUAAGGAGAGGCCGAAAGGCGUAUCUGAUGGAUAGCAGGUUGAUAUUCCUGCACUAUAUAAUACUUAAAAGAUGCAACUGACGCAGAAGUGGAAGGUGAGCAAGGAAAUGGAAAAACUUGUUCCGCAAGGGGGAGUGAAAAUAAAGUAACGAAGCACCAAGAAGCACGCUGACGAGAAAAGGUUGUAGAUAUUGUAUUAUAUACUUGUACCGCAAACCGACACAGGUAGAUGAGGAGAGGAUCCUAAGACGAUCGGGAGAAGCAUUGUUAAGGAACUCGGCAAAUUGACCCCGUAACUUUGGAAGAAGGGGUACUGGUGUAACAGCCAGUCGCAGUGAAUAGUCCCAAGCAACUGUUUAACAAAAACAUAGGUUUCUGCUAAAUCGAAAGAUGAAGUAUAGGAGCUGACGCCUGCCCAGUGCUGGAAGGUUAAGGGAACGUGUUAAUAGUAAUAUGAAGCACCGAACUGAAGCCCCAGUGAACGGCGGCCGUAACUAUAACGGUCCUAAGGUAGCGAAAUUCCUUGUCAGGUAAGUUCUGACCCGCACGAAAGGCGUAAUGAUUUGGGAGCUGUCUCGACAAUGUCCCCGGCGAAAUUGUAGUACUAGUGAAGAUGCUAGUUACCUGCGACAAGACAGAAAGACCCCAUGGAGCUUUACUGCAGUUUGAUACUGAGUCAGGCUAAUUUAUGUACAGGAUAGUUAGGAGGCUUUGAGGCUUAAGCGCCAGCUUAAGAAGAGCCAACGUUGGGAUACUAACCUUAAAUUAGUUUGAAUCUAACUCGUGAUCGUAAUCCGGUCAGAGGACAAUGUCAGACGGGCAGUUUGACUGGGGCGG